ACAGCUUUGGCAAAAGUCUAUAGCCAGAGCAUUCGUAAUAUCCCAUGUUUAAGAGCUGACUGUGUAUCUGGAAAGUCAUUUUAUGGUUUCUCUGUUUCCUUGACUUUCCCAGCCCUGUUCUCAGGUAUUUGCUAGCUCUCCAUUUUUACCUGCUCGGGGCUCUGUAUUUGAGGAAAAAUCUGCAACCUGUCAGCUGGUGUAGGUCUCAUAAGGGGUACAGAGAA
RNAcentral lists this long non-coding RNA (224 nucleotides) under Notechis scutatus (mainland tiger snake). RNAcentral's name for it is "SOX2 overlapping transcript exon 1 (ENSNSUG00000004606.1)". It matches the Rfam family "SOX2 overlapping transcript exon 1". From Rfam's summary of the family: SOX2 overlapping transcript (SOX2OT) is a long non-coding RNA, containing at least 5 exons. The record is from RNAcentral. Lineage: Eukaryota; Metazoa; Chordata; Lepidosauria; Squamata; Elapidae.